RNAcentral lists this microRNA (24 nucleotides) under Solanum tuberosum (potato). RNAcentral's name for it is "stu-miR8025-3p". The record is from miRBase by way of RNAcentral. Lineage: Eukaryota; Viridiplantae; Streptophyta; Magnoliopsida; Solanales; Solanaceae.
UUUAAUUGCAUGCCAAGUGUGUGG